Molecule: RNA transcript, 1404 nt
Organism: Contarinia nasturtii (swede midge)
Lineage: Eukaryota; Metazoa; Arthropoda; Insecta; Diptera; Cecidomyiidae
Exons: 12
Source: RefSeq, a predicted model, not a curated record
CGUUUAGUAGAUUUUUUCGGUUGGUUCGGUAAACAUCAUAGAUCAAAAACUUAAUAAAUUGAAAAUCACAGAUAAUUUUUAUAUCUUCAUUUUCAUUAGUCUCGAUUUCGAAUUAAUUUCGAUAAUUCAUAAAUUUUUCUCUCAAUUUCUGCGAACGAGAAUACAUAAAUCGCAAUCAUGUCAUUCAAGCAACAUUUGGAAAUGAUCGGUCGUAAUGAGACGCCGAGCAAAAAAGCCAAAUUCUGGCAAUCCUAUGUCAGAUCGCUUAAAGGUUCGGAUGAUAUCCGUGCCCACGAUUCACCAAAAAUAAACUCCUGGAGACCAUUGAGCGCUGACUUGCCACCAUUGCGUAGCAUCUAUGAUGAACCGAGCACAGCAUCCGAAAGAAUCGUUGGUGCUGGUUACCGUUACUUGCCAGUCCAUCGCGAAACAUACGGUUAUUCACCACGACCAAUCUAUUCGCACCACUAUGGAAGACCCACUAGUGAAUAUGCUCACGUGUACGAUGCAGAACGUGCUUGGUUUGACCACUUGCAAAGAAUGAAGGACAUUGAACGUCGGUACCCAUCACGUUACGGGCUUUACUUAAAAGACAAGCCAAACACAGUUGUAGUGCCACAAGAAUAUGAACCAGAGGAUAAACUGCUCAAGUCCGGUCGUUCUGGACGUUCACCAUCACGGGCCUUCAGUGUUCCACCACCAAUUGCUCCACCACCAUUGCGUUCAUUGAGUGUUCAACCUCGCGAUCUACGUGCUACAUCGAUUCCACCAAUGCCUUCGUCGCCAUUGUCUCCACUCGAUUUGCUAAGUGAGUAUGAACGUCAACCAUUUGAAAGAGGUUUAUCCCCAACACCAGUUAAAUGUGGCCGAUGGGCUCCACGCAGCUCUGAAAUUGCUUUUGACAGUGACGGAUUGCCAAUUUUCCGUGGAGGAUUUCCUCGCUACAAUAGCUUAGACAACCUCAUGAACCCACGUGCAUCAUUACCACCAACUGCCUUUACACGUGAUCCAUUUUGGUAUGAUUUGGGAGACAUAGGACUCCGUCCCUUCCGUGCCACUUCCGAGUGUCCAGCACAUUUACGUGACUCGUACUUGUCACCAAUCCGACGAAGAUAUUUGUGGACAUCACACCCAAUGCGUCCAUUCGAGGACGAGCUCUUCGACAUCCCUUGAAGUUAAAAAUGUGCACACCUUUGCUAUUUCAUAUGUUUCUAUGUUAAUUGUUUCAAAUUGUUUUGACUUUGACCACAAUCAAGAUACAUUUACCUAUUUAAUCUUUCAUUUUUAUAUUCGAAACAAAGUCUCAAUGCUCACACCCGAUAGAUUGAUUGAGACAUCAAACGAUUACCAUGGCCAUCUUUAAAAUGCCGAAAAAUUAUACUGCACGUCGACCACUUCGAAAAA